AUCAAGGGAGAAGUCAGUCCCUGUCAGAUCAGUUCCUGAUGGGCAUUCUCCAGUCCACACUAUUGCAUCUGAUUGGAGGCUAUGCAAAAUUUCCCAGAGACAAUGAAUUUUGACGACAGACUUCUUGGUGUCCACUGUACCCAUGGUUUCAACAGGACUGGCUACCUCAUGUGCAGAUAUUUGAUUGAUGUAGAAGGCAUGUGGCCAGAUGAUGCAAUUGAAUACUGGUGUUUUAUCUUUACAAGUUCUCCGUCAUUCCAUAAGAAAGCUGCUCGUCUUCUGGUUUCAUAAGAGAUGGUGAACAGUGGUAAAAUAUCCAGUUGACCGAAAUUUCUAGAGUACACUUCAGGGAGCGAGUGAUGGGGUGGAAUGUUGGGGCAGAGUGAGAGAUACAGAUUCUGGUGAGACUGAGAGUCAUGCACAAAAAUUACUGGGCUGUGGUGAAGGGAGAACAAAACUAAAUCAGGUUCCUGCUGGUGGACAGGAAGCCAAGAUGAAGAAGAAUGGUGCGUAGCUGGGCAGUGUAAUUAGGCCCCUAAGUGCUGUGUCUCCUGAUAGUAAUUAUGAACAGAAACCAAAUAAUAGUUACUAAUAACAUGGAGGUGACCAAUCCUUGAGAGCUGAGGCAGAGAGAAGGAAAGAUGGCAUUAUGCCUUGUCUCUGGUGCCUUGAGUUUCCCAGGCUGGUUUGUGACCAAUCUUGGGUGAAAUCAUAACUAAGUCAUUUCUGCUAAGGUGAUCAGCUUUCGUGGGGUCCUUUCUCUGCACUCUGUCCAAUGGUAAAGCCCACUGGUUUAUGCCUCCUGGAAAACAGUUAUUCCAAAGCAGUAUAAGUGAAGCAUUGAUGAAACAGCCAUGAAGAGCAUGUUUCCACAUGGCCUCGCACCACCUUUUCAAAGUGCUGUAAAACUUUUUUCAUCCAAAAAUCAGUAACAGAAAAGGAUUGGGAUCAAAUCCCGUACAGAGGUAGUGUAAGAAAAAAGAGAAUAAGGAGCAGAAUAGCAUGUCUUCAGACAAUAAAAUCAAGUUGGAAAAGACAGGUCCACAAAACAGAUCAAAACUGUAACCUAUUAUUUCAAAGUGGGCUAAAAGAUGUUAGGAAAAACAAUGCGAAAGAUGAAAGAACAUGGAUCGAGGAGGGAAUGGGAAGUUAUUGUUUAGUGGCUAUAGAGUCUCUGUUUGGGAUGGUGGAAAAGUUCUGGAAAUGGUAAAUGCUGAUAAAUGCCACCUAUGGGUGUUUGGUUUUAGUUGAUCUUCUUCCAUGAAAGGGUUUGGAGAGAUUCAGAAGCUAUGCUGCUGCCUCCAUCUUUCUGAUGUCCUGCUCAAUCUUUUGACAUAAUUAUUUUGAAUUUGCACAGUGGUGAUGGUUGCACAGCAUUGUGAAUGUAUUUAAUGUCACUGAAUUGUAUACUUGAAAAUGGUUGAAAUAAUAAAUUUUGUUUUAUGUAUAUUUUACCAUAAUAAAAAAAAGAUGAAAGAACAGCAUAAACCAGAAUUAGGUAAGAUGAUAGAACUCAAGACAGAAUUCAAAAUAAAAGAAAAAAGUUUCAGAAAUGAGGACUAAAUUUAAAAUAAUACAAGAGUGGGGACUUCCCUGGUUGUCCAGUGGUUAAGAAUCCACCUUGCAGUGCAGGGGAUGCAGGUUCGGUCCCUGGUUGGGGAACUGAGAUCCCACAUGCUGCAGGGCAACUAAGCCCGCACGCCGCAACUACUGAGCCCACGUACUCUGGAGCCCACGCGCCACAACUGGAGAGCCCACGAGCCGCAAGGAAGAGCCCACGCACUGCAACAAAGAGCCCACGUGCUGCAACUAAUACCCGACACCUCCAAAAAUAAAUAAGUUAAUUAAUUAAAUAAAUUAAAUAAAAUAAUACGAGUGAAUGAACAUAAUGGAUAAUGCCUUAAGAGAAACAAACAAGAAGAGGAAAAAAAUUUUUUAAAUCAAAAAGAAGAUAAAAAGAAUUUUAGAGAAAUGGCAAACAUAACAGAUAGGCAAGAAAGAGUCAGGACAGCUCUGAAAAGAGAAAUAUAAAUACGUAUAAGGGGCUUUCCUGGUGGUGCAGUGGUUAAAAAUCCUCCUGCCAAUGCAGGGGAUAUGGGUUCGAUCCCUGGCCCAGGAAGAUCCCACAUGCCAUGGAGAAGCUAAGCCCGUGAGACACAACUACUGAGCCUGUGUGCCACAACUACUGAAGCCCACGCGCCUAGAGCCCGUGCUCGGCAACACGAGGAGCCACCGCAAUGAGAAGCCCGCUUGCCGCAACUAGAGAAAGCCUGCGCACAGCAACAAAGACCCAAAGCAGCCAAAAAUAAAUAAAUAAAUACAUUAAAAAAUAUAUAUAUAUAUAUAUAUAUAUACGUAUAAGAAUCUGUUAUACCAUAAAAGUGACAUUUCAAAUCAGUGGGACAGAUUAGUCAAUAAGUUGUGAUACAUAAAUGUUGGGGUAUAAAUAUUUCUCUGGAAGGAUCCACAGCACGGCCAAAGCAGAUGUCUCUGAGGAGGGAAAUGUGUGGCUGGGGAAUGUGGGGAAAAGGGUCACUUUUCAUUGAAUACCCUUGUGUACCUUUUCUAGUGUUCUGUCAUGUGAAUCUAUUACCUCUGAAGUUUGCCUGAGUUCAAACCCCAGUUCCCCCAAUUGCUAGCUCUUAAUCUAGGGCAAACUCUUCACACUCUCCAAGCCUCUUAAUCUGUGAAGUAAGGUCAGUAACUCAGCCUGGUGCUGCCUGGCACAGAAUAAACUCUCAAAAAAUGGACAUUAUUAGUGAAAAAAACCCAAAUGCCCAUCAGUGGAUGAAUGGAUUUUUUAAAUGUGGUGGAUAUGUGAAAUAUUAUACAGCCAUAAAAAGGAAUGAAGUACUAACACAUGCUACAACAUGGACGAACUUGAAAACAUUAUGCUAAGUGAAAGAAGCCAGAGACAGCGGUCACAUUCAUUUGUAUUAUUUCAUGAAAUGUCCAGAAAAGGCAAAACCAUAGCAACAGAAAGCAAAUUAAUGGUUGCCAGGGCUGAAGGAAGAGGGGAUGAAGAGUGCCUGCUCAUGCUUAAGGGGGCUUCUUUUUGGGGUGAUGAAAACGUGAUGGGUUAGAUGCCGGUGAUGGUUGCAUAGGCUUGUGGAUGUACUAAAUGACACUGAAUUUGCAGUUUCAGAAGGUGAAUUUUAUGGCAUGUGAAUGACAUCUCAAAAAAAUAAUUUUGAAAAUGAAAAUUGCCCAUUUUCCCAUAGUCACUAUCCACUGUCUCCAUCUCUCCCUUCUCCCCACUGCAUUCCUUUUCACGCCCAGCCCUGCCGCUCUCUCCCAUCGUCACUCCCUCGAGCUGCCCCACGAGGCCUCCCAGGGAGCCUCUGAACCCCUGGGCGCCUGCGUCCUGUGGCUGUUGGAGCUGCUGCCCAGUGCGCGUGCCCCCACCACUCUCACCCGUGAGAGUGGACGCUUCCGUCGGAUUUUUUCUCAUGCGUUUCAGUAGAUGGUGAUGUUUACAAAAGGCGGCACGUGCCCUGCUCAAUGGAGGAAGCCCCUCAAGUUAAUAUUUAGGCGCGUGCAGAAGUUUGAUCUCGUCCACCAGUAACCUCAGGAUGCUGUGCUCUGAAAGCCAGGUUGGCCGCCUACGGGCAUCUGCAAAUACAGAGGACUUCAGAGGCAUUUGGGCCUCAAAUUGAGUCCUUGUACCUCCACAUGGGAUGUGACCUCAGCCCUUUGCUGCACCUCUGUAAGUGAAGUGGCACAGGAAUACCGGCCUUGCCUGUCUUUGCCAAGGUUAACUGAAGAGCGCAUUCGCUCCCCUCGUGCUUAGGUGUUGAGUACAUCGUGAUUUACAUACCAGGCCCUAUUCGUGGGCCUCCUGAUGCAGCAGUUUCCUUGGCUCUGCCCCUGUCGUCAGCUGCCCCUAGGAUAACUCUGAGCCCUAGCCACUUCUCUGGUAGAUUUCCCUAUUCCCCCACUACAGUCACACCUGAAUAAGGCGACUCAGACCUUUCAGAGAUGUGUCCUGAACCUCUUGUUUUCUGAAAUACCUAUCUGGUGGUUGUGAGACUUAAGGCCAGCGUCCCCGAGAGACUUUUUCUAUUUCUCCUAGUAAACCUAGACUCCUCUUCUGUCACCUUCAACUCUACUCCAAUUGUGUUCUUUCAACCCAGACCUCUGACCCUGCUUUUUACUUCUGCCAUUUCAUCCUCACUCCUGCUUCCUUUCCUAAAUCCAUACGUCUCUUUUGGCCUUCCUAGCCCUGGGCCAAGUUCCUUCCUCUUUGCUCAGUUUUUACCCCUUUCCUUCAUUCUCCCAUCCAACUUUCAGUCCUUCCUUUCUCACGCCCCAGUUAGCAGCAUCUGAAAAUUCGAAAGGUUUGUUACUCGUCUAUUAAUUGUAUUCCAUUUACUUAUUCAGUUCUAUACCUGUCUUACCUGUGUAUGGAAGAACAGCUGGUAGCCAAGGUGGCACCAAGAAUCCUAGCAGCUCUCACUUGACGUAUCCGUAGUAGUCGGCAAUUUCCAUUUCGUUUUCCCUCUCGGUGAAAAAUUGCAGCUUCCCCGAAGAGGUGUAUCUGGCAGCAUUCUCACGUUGUUGAGCCCGCCUCUUCAUGGCCUCUCGCUCUGGCCUCUGCUCUUGUUCGAUGGGCUUUGACAUGACUGGCUCAGGCACAUUGGGUUCCCUCCAUGGAACUCGUUGCUUGCUGAAGUCUUGGCAUAGAAGUUGGGUUUGGAGCUUGGAUGGGGCCUGGCGCUUAGUCACAGCAGGGGGAACAGGCUCCCGCUGGAGAGAAGCGCCAGAUGAAGUUUUGUAGGGUGCAGGCCUAAGAGCAGCAGACUGAGGGGACACGAGGCUGGGUAUGGUUGGUCCAAGCCGGUUGGGUUGGGUUGGUCACAGUUGGCUGAGCUGGUUUGGCGGGGCCUGGCAGAGAGGCAGGAGCUGGCUGGGAUGAAUUGACUGCAGCAGGUUGCGCUGAGUCAGUAGAACCAGGCUGGGCACGGUAAGCCCCAGCAGGCCGAUGUGAGGCCAGAGACUGUGGCCUCCGAGGAGCGGGUCGAGCUUGAGGCUUGUCCCAGGCAGAAAAAGGCAGAGGUAUCAACUUGACCUUCCCAGGAGGAGGCCGCUCAUACUGGGAUGAGGAUAGACACUCUGUUUCAGCACUGCUGACUGGUUUCUGGGCUUCGACUUGAGUUUUCUCAGCACUCUUACCCUCAUGUGGGGUAUGCCGCCAUGGCUGGAUGGCUGGGGGUCUUUGGGGUUGCUUGACUUUCCCAAGACCCGACAGGAAGAGAGCCCAGUUUUCUUAUCAUCCUUCUUCCCCAGCGCAUGAAGAACCUUCACAGACUCCAGCAUGCGCACGCCUAGGGAGGUUCGAGGCUUUUGAAAGCUCUGUUGGAGAAGCUCAGUUUGGUGUUCCUUUCGCUUCGUGUGGGGGAUUGCUGGCUUCUCUUCUGCCUUGACUUUGUUCCCUGACUGCUUGUUCUCUUCAGCCUUGUUUCUCCCUCUGGUCCUUUUGGUCUUUUCCUGCCCGUGGCUCUUAGUUUUGCUGAUCUUUCUGGAUGCAGCUUUCUGAGGUUUGCCUUGAGAGUGCUUGGCCGUGUUCACAGGAGCCCUGUCACUGACUGCAGCGUGGCAGGUAACCACUUCUCCCCCUAACAGGCACUCUGGAUUCUUUGGCUGGAUUUUGGCCUUGGGAGCGCCGCUGAUAGGCUCAGAGGCUUUCUGUUUGUUCUUCCUGGGUUGAUCAGAGGGAACCUUUAUGACACUUGGCUUUUCCUGCACCUGAUUCACCUUAAAGGCUCUGGCAUCUUUGGCUUUGAUCCCGUUGGGACCUUGGGAUUGAUCAAGAUCUUUCAAAGAACUAAAGAGCUGGGGAAGGUGAAUAUCCUCCGCCAGUGUAGUAAUGUCUGCAAAACCACUGCUGGAUUCGAUCCCAUUUUCGAGUGUCCCUAGGUCCUCACGACUCAGGCUGUUCUUUCCCAGAUCAGCAUUUUCAGAACCAGGCUGCUCCUCUUGGCUGAGGGGAUCGGUGCAGGCCAGCGGCUGGUGAAUAUCAGGGAUUCCUAAAGGGAGUAGUGGAGUAUCUUGGUUUUCUUUUGGGAUGUGUUAGGCAUCCAGAAUCUUUGAAACCUUGGUUUUAAUAUCAUCCACGUUCUUACUCUCUAUUUGUCCCUGGCUUGGAGCUGGAGGCAGGGCCAGGAGACGCCUGGCACUCUGGACUGGAACUGUCACUGAAAUGUCCCCAAGUUCAGAUGCUGGGUUACUCUCAAAUAUGUGACUGUUUCUGCUACUGCAGGACUUGGGGAGUUCUUGAGUUUGUGUCACACAAAAUGUCUGGCUUGGAGGUUGCAAUCCCAGGGAAUUUUUCAUCACCAGGGAUGUCUCCGUCACUACAAAGGAAUCAAGGUAAAAGUCCAGUCCCUGGUAAGUGAGAUGCUCCCGCUAAACUCCAACACAGCAAUCAUGUACCGUUCAAGGUACAUGAUUGCUGUGUUGGUGUUUAGGGGCAGAAUGGGCGAGGCAUUUCUAGUAACUCUUCUUAAGGAUCAUGGACAAUGCCCUGUGCUACGAGAUAAGCGGUGACUGUUGUAGUUCUUACUGGUGAUCAUUUCAUGUCACUGAUUCUUGGCUUUCUUUGUAUUUCAUAGGAUUGUUAUAAGUCCGAUACAAAAUGAGUCUUAUUUUUAAAAAACUAAAGUGUUUUACAAAGCCUAGCAUUCUCAUGUAGAGUCUUUCCAAUUCUCCCCACUUUCCUGAGAGGCUAAGAACACUUCACACCAUGAACUAGGAGAGGGGGUAGAGCCCUUUCUGAUGAAAUACAUCAACAAAGACAGAGUCUUAGCCUGCUUGCUCUCUGGACAGGAUCUCGGACCACAAGGUCUUCAAUCCUGGUAUAAAUGAAGGAAGUGAGGACAGUUCAACUGGCACUCUCAUAACAAGAGUUCUGAAACACCUUCCAAAGAGACUGUAGCAGUAGAUCAGGGAAGGGAAUGCUACAGUGUGGUAGUACAGGGGGAAUGAUCGGCUACAGCAGUGAAAAAUGUGGUACCUAUUGGUGUGCUCUCGGGGUUCUUGUACAUGUAGCAUAGAUGACCUUUACAGUGUCCCUCCCACCUUCCCACCUGCAUUAGGUGUUCUGUUUUUUUUUUUUUAAUUUGUUUAUUUAUUUUUUGAACUUAUUUAUUUUAUGUAUUAAUUUUUUUGGCUGCACUGGGUCUCUCAUUGCUGUGCACGGGCUUUCUCUAGUUGCGGCUAGCGGGGGCUACUCUUGGUUGCGGUGUGCGGGUUUCUCAUUGCGGUGGCUUCUCUUGUUGCGGAGUAUGGGCUCUAGGCGCAUGGGCUUCAGUAGUUGUGGCUCCCGGGCUCUAGAAUGCAGGCUCAGUAGCUGUGGCACAUGCGCUUAGUCGCUCCACUGCAUCUGGGAUCUUCCCUGACCAGGCCUCGAACCCGUGUCCCCUGCCUUGGCAGGCGGAUUCUUAACCACGGCGCCACCAGGGAAGCCCUAGGUGUUCUCAUAUAGAGUCUAAAAACAGAGAGCACUGAGCGAAGGUAGUGGUUAUUAAAGGCUCAGGAUCUAAAUUCGACCUGUCUGUACACCACUUCCCAGCUGUAGAUUUGACCCCAUUUUUGAAUGCUGACCUCAUUCUUCAACUUUCUUGCUGUUUGUGGGGCUUGCACUUUGGCAUUUUCUUAAAAGCUAAACAUAAACUUACCAUAUGACCCAGCAAUUCCAGUCCUGCGUAUAUAUGCAAAAGAAAUGAAAACCUAUGUCCACAGAAAAACUUUUACAAAAAUGUUCAUAGCAGCAUGAUUCACGUUAUCCGGAAAAAAAAAAAAAAUGAAACAAUCCAAAUGUCCAACAACUGGCAACUGGAUAAACAAAAUGUGGUAGAGCCAUACAAUGGAAUACUAACCAGCAAUAAAAAGGAGUACUGGUACACACUAUAACAAGGAUGAAUCUUGAAAACAUCAUGCUAAGAAGCUAGAUGCAAAGACUAGAUAUUAUAUAAUUCUAUUUACAUGAAAUGUGCAGAAAAGGAAAAAGGCAGAUUGGAGGUUGUCUGGGGCUGGGAAUGUGGAUUGAUUGCAAACAGGUAUAAGGGACUUUUCUGGGUAACAGAAGUGUUCUAAAACUGGAUUGUGGUGAUGAUUGCACAGCUCUGUAAAUUUACUAAAAAUAAUUGAAUUGUAUACUUAAAAUGGAUGUAUUUUAUGGUAUGUAAAUUAAACUUCUAUAAAGUGUUUUAAAAAUCUCUGUAAAGAUAUGCCAGAACAAGUCACACUGAGUAGCUCUGGAAAGGAAAGAUGGGUGCCUGGGAAACGGGAGAGGGAAGACACUGUAUCAAAUACUCCUUUCUAUAUUUUUAAUUUUGUACCAUGUAUUGUCAGUUUAAGAAAUGAGAAUAAACAAAACAAAAACUUACAA
This is a long non-coding RNA of Balaenoptera ricei (Rice's whale), 8389 nucleotides long. RefSeq lists it as uncharacterized. The record is from RefSeq and is a predicted model, not a curated record. The transcript has 5 exons. NCBI's taxonomy places the organism in Eukaryota, Metazoa, Chordata, Mammalia, Artiodactyla, Balaenopteridae.